This 451-nucleotide ribosomal RNA is filed under the name uncultured bacterium. Its description in RNAcentral is "partial 16S ribosomal RNA". It matches the Rfam family "Bacterial small subunit ribosomal RNA", at positions 354 to 796 of the family's 1533-position model. The record is from RNAcentral.
GUGGGGAAUAUUGGACAAUGGGCGAAAGCCUGAUCCAGCCAUGCCGCGUGUGUGAAGAAGGCCUUUUGGUUGUAAAGCACUUUAAGCGAGGAGGAGGCUACCGAGAUUAAUACUCUUGGAUAGUGGACGUUACUCGCAGAAUAAGCACCGGCUAACUCUGUGCCAGCAGCCGCGGUAAUACAGAGGGUGCGAGCGUUAAUCGGAUUUACUGGGCGUAAAGCGUGCGUAGGCGGCUUUUUAAGUCGGAUGUGAAAUCCCUGAGCUUAACUUAGGAAUUGCAUUCGAUACUGGAAAGCUAGAGUAUGGGAGAGGAUGGUAGAAUUCCAGGUGUAGCGGUGAAAUGCGUAGAGAUCUGGAGGAAUACCGAUGGCGAAGGCAGCCAUCUGGCCUAAUACUGACGCUGAGGUACGAAAGCAUGGGGAGCAAACAGGAUUAGAUACCCGAGUAGUCC